This 559-nucleotide ribosomal RNA is filed under the name Megabalanus volcano. RNAcentral describes it as "SSU rRNA". It matches the Rfam family "Eukaryotic small subunit ribosomal RNA", at positions 1227 to 1804 of the family's 1831-position model. Lineage: Eukaryota; Metazoa; Arthropoda; Thecostraca; Balanomorpha; Balanidae. The record is from RNAcentral.
GACACCGUAAGGAUUGACAGACUGAUAGCUCUCUCUUGAUUCAGUGGGUGGUGGUGCAUGGCCGUUCUUAGUUGGUGGAGUGAUUUGUCUGGUUUAUUCCGAUAACGAACGAGACUCUGGCCUAUUAAACUUGACACUGUCCGUCUCUUGUGACGGCGGUGCGCUUCUUAGAGGGAUCAUCGGCGUCCCAGCCGAAGGAAAGGGAGCAAUAACAGGUCUGUGAUGCCCUUAGAUGUUCUGGGCUGCACGCGUGUUACACUGAAGUGGUCAGCGCGCCGUUCAACACCCCUCUCCGUGAGGAGCUUGGGCAAACGUUUGAACCCUUUUCGUGAUGGGAAUUGGGGGUUGCAAUUGUCCCCCAUGAACGAGGAAUUCCAAGUAAGCGCAGGUCACUAGCCUGCGUUGAUUAAGUCCCUGCCCUUUGUACACACCGCCCGUCGCUACUACCGAUGGAUGAUUUGGUGAGGUCGCCUAGACUGGCCGCUGGCUUCGGCCGUGCGGCCGGGAAGACGCCCAAACUUGGUCGUCUAGAGGAAGUAAAAGUCGUAACAAGGUUUCC